This 392-nucleotide unclassified non-coding RNA is filed under the name soil metagenome. RNAcentral's name for it is "partial contains 5.8S ribosomal RNA, internal transcribed spacer 2, and large subunit ribosomal RNA". The stretch from base 2 to 123 matches the Rfam family "5.8S ribosomal RNA", at positions 35 to 154 of the family's 154-position model. The record is from RNAcentral.
GGAUGAAGAACGCAGUGAAAUGCGAUACUUGGUGUGAAUUGCAGAAUCCCGUGAACCAUCGAGUCUUUGAACGCAAGUUGCGCCCGAAGCCACUAGGCCGAGGGCACGCCUGCCUGGGCGUCACACGCCGUUGCCCCCCCAUCUACUCCUUCGGGAUUGCGGGGGGGCGGAUGAUGGCCUCCCGUGCGCCUAGCCGCGCGGUUGGCAUAAAUACCAAGUCCUCGGCGACGCACGCCACGACAAUCGGUGGUUGCGAAACCUCGGUUGCCCGUCGUGUGCGUUCGUCGCGCAUCGAGGGCUCGAAAAAAUGCUCGGCUCCGGCUGGGCUUUCAACGCGACCCCAGGUCAGGCGGGGUUACCCGCUUAAUUUAAGCAUAUCAAUAAGCGGAGGA